CAUCAGAUAGCUCAGUGGUCUAGAGCAGUCGCUCGGCAAGCAAAAGACUCAGGUUCGAUUCCCGGUCUAGCGA
This 73-nucleotide transfer RNA is filed under the name Harpegnathos saltator (Jerdon's jumping ant). It matches the Rfam family "tRNA". From Rfam's summary of the family: Transfer RNA (tRNA) molecules are approximately 80 nucleotides in length. Their secondary structure includes four short double-helical elements and three loops (D, anti-codon, and T loops). The record is from Rfam by way of RNAcentral. Lineage: Eukaryota; Metazoa; Arthropoda; Insecta; Hymenoptera; Formicidae.